AUACAAAUUUGUGAUGCUUUAGGGGGCCUAUUGUUCGGCGGUUUAUAGGAGCCAGGUUUGUCUUUUGACGAACCUUUAACCUAUUUUUACUUCCAAAACCGUUACAAUGGCUUUCUUUUAUUAAAAUUUUUCUUUUCUUUUCUUUGGCUUAGUUUAUUUUUAAUAAGUUAUUUCAGGUGAAGAUAGAAGAAGGAUAAAGAGUAUCGUAGAUAAAUCUUCGGUUCCGAAUAGUCUAACUAUUGGUAUUGAGGUAAUCCAUCUUUAAAACCAUCGCCGUUAGAGGUUGCUUCUGAUGUUUUCGGUUAAGCGACCCAUGAAAUGGUGAUGACCUGAGGUAUGGAACAUCU
RNAcentral lists this small nucleolar RNA (347 nucleotides) under Saccharomyces paradoxus NRRL Y-17217. Its description in RNAcentral is "Small nucleolar RNA snR42". It matches the Rfam family "Small nucleolar RNA snR42". The record is from Rfam by way of RNAcentral. Lineage: Eukaryota; Fungi; Ascomycota; Saccharomycetes; Saccharomycetales; Saccharomycetaceae.